This 2974-nucleotide long non-coding RNA is filed under the name Sus scrofa (pig). RNAcentral describes it as "lncRNA (ENSSSCG00025051077.1)". The record is from RNAcentral. Lineage: Eukaryota; Metazoa; Chordata; Mammalia; Artiodactyla; Suidae.
ACAGCAUAAAUCUAAAAGGAGAUGAGAAAUUUUGAGUAAGUCUAAUUAUACUUUUUUUUCCUCAUAAUACACAGCAAAUUUUAACAAUAGCCCAACAUACGAUAGUAGAAGAGUUCAUUAAUUAAAAUAUCUCACUAAACUGUCUAAAGACUGCCUGUGGUGGAUUAGGUGGAACAGAUAUAUAGUGCUUCUUUUAAAAAGCCUACAAUAGCCCCAAGUUUCCUGCCAAAAUUUUAAUCUUUUUUGUUAUUUUUAUAUGCUUACUCUUUGUCUAAAAUGUACUUUGCAAUCACUUUUACAAGUAUUUAUCAUAAUAGAUUCAGUUUAUGGAUCUCUGUCCCUAAAAAAAAAAAAAAAAAAAAAAAGUCAUUCUAGAUAUCUCAUGUAAGGCAUGAAUUUUCUUGGUUGCCUCAUUUAUAUACUUAGUUUUUUAAUUCAUUGCAUUUUUAUAAAUUUCAGACAGUAGAAUUCAGACAGAAAGAGAGAAUAAGAGAAAGAAAGGGAGAGGAUUUUGUAAUAGAAUCCUGUCUGAGCCAACUCUCAGUAGUCUUUUGGCAAAAAGCCUGUGUGUGAACUAUUUCCAAGACCUCGGACUGAAAGGCAGCCAAAGACUCCACAAAAGAACAGGCCCAAAAUGACUUAUUACCUUUAACAUUUGACCUUUUACCCAGUUGCCUCACACUUUGUGAACUUGAAAUCUUGUGAGACUGCUUAGCCAUCCUGUUUACAAACAGCCUAUUUAUUCCACAGGAACAGCUUGGCAGGACAUAUCCAGGUCAUCUGACCUUGGGUUGUCACAAAGACCAUGAGACUCAGGCUCCUUUUAUAAUUAAGCCAAAACUGCAACAUUCUAACUGGCUGAAAUCAGUGUUGGACUGUGUAGCAAUCAUCAAACAUUUAAAUCACUUUUAUACUGUACACUUCACAGAAGUAUUAACACACAAAAUGUGAAAGCGCUUACAAUGGAACAAGUGGUAUAUGUAUAAUGCCUUCUAUGGAGAAUAGAAAAAAUAAAUUUUUAACCUGAAUAUUACAAAUCAAUCUCAAUCUGCCCUAGAUAUUACUACACUUAUUAGCACACAACAAAAAUCACACAGGAGUUCCCGUCAUGGCGCAGUGGUUAACGAAUCCGACUGGGAACCAUGAGGUUGCGGGUUCGGUCCCUGCCCUUGCUCAGUGGGUUAAUGAUCCGGCGUUGCCGUGAGCUGUGGUCUUGGAUUCAAUCCCUGAUCCAAGAACUACUAUAUGGCAUGGUUCAGGCAUAAAAUUUUUUAAAAAAGAAAAGAAAGAAAAAGAAAAGUAAACUGAUUUUCUCAAAGUCACUUGAUUAAGAAAUAAUAGAGUGAGGCUACCAAUCCAGCUAUUUUAAUACUACAAUUUAUGUUUUUCCUACUAUAGCGACUCAUUUCACAUUAAGAUCUUAUUGACUCAAUGAUGAAUAGAAUGAAAAAUUUCCAGUAAGAAUGAUAUAAAAAUAACAAAAUAAAGGCUUUCUCAAUUUAACAUUAAAAGAAAGCAGGGAGUUCCCAUCGAUGAGGAUGCAGAUUCAAUCCCUAGCCUCGCUCAGUGGGCUAAAUUCUCCAGAAUUGUUGUGAGCUGCAGUAUAGGUUGCAGACGUGGCCCAUAUCCUGUGUUGCUGUGGCUCUGAUUCGACCCCUAGCCUGGGAACUUCCAUAUGCUGCAUGUGCAGCCCUAAGGAGGUCGGCGGUGGGGUGAGGGGGGGGGGGCAUUUUAAUAAAAAUAAAUCCCAUUUCCAUAUUUUAGAAUCAUGGAAUUCCUAGUACCAGGAUUUUCAUUUUCUUUACUUAGUAAUCAUAAAUACAUUCUUAAUCCAAAUAAUUAGGAAAAAAAGAUAGGAAGUCCUUACAUCCAAAGGAUACUCCCAAAAUCCUGCUAAGUAAAAGGAUCACCUAGGAAAUAACUAAAUUAGAACCAGACUGGUGUAAGAGCUACCAAGAGUUUUACUUAGAACCUUUACUGGUCCUCCUCCCAUGAACUUACCUGCAAGGUCACACCAGGCACACUACAUGGAAGAUUUCCCAAGAGGGACUCUCUUAGCUCUUGGUUCUCUAUUUGUCUAAAAGCCAACAACUAUUUCAGCAAUCAGAGGUUUUAAAACAAAUACCCAUAAAAGUUGAAUGAUAUGCAGUUAUAGAAAGCACUAUCUUUUCCAAAGGAAUGAAUACAUCUGUAGAGCAGAAAGUAUAUUAGAGAAAGUUAGCCCACAUGUCACUAGGUAGGUUGUGUUAGGGAGGCCAUCCUUAGACUGACUAAAAGACCCACUAGAGAGAAACUGAAGAAACAGGACCUUAACUUUUCUCAUUUGUGAUAAGGCCCUUUCUUUGGCCAUUCUGUGGCACAGCUACAGCCAUUACAAAAAAAAAGAAGAAAGAAGAAGAAGAAAUACGAGGGAAGGGAAGGGAGAAAAAGAAAAAAAUACAAUAAUGUAAAAAUAAAUGUAUUGGUAAAUUUUGAAAUAUGAAAUUUUAAAACACCAUUAAGAAGCUAAUAUACAUAAGAGAAUAAAUGUGCAAGAAACAAGGAAUAAAGAGAGACAAAAAGAAAAAAACCAAGCAACUUAUUUAUAGGCAGGCCAGUGAGAAAGGAUCUUAAGACCUAUAUGGAUUGAUCUAUCUAUGAUAAGCUUUUCUGCCAAGCCUAUCAUAUGCAAUCAAAAAAGUUUCUAGAAUAUGCCUCAUGACCAUAAAUGUACUCUGGGCUGCCAAUUAACUUACUAAAUUGCUAUGUGAUAAAUUUAUCUUGAAUGUUUUAAAAUCACCACUGGAAUUAUUUCAAAAAUAUAUAUUAUAGUUGUCAUUGAUUUUAUAUACAGGCAAGAGUGGUAUUUUGGGAACUAGGGGGCGGGGGAGAGGGCAAACGUGCCAUGGAAAAAAAUGGAAACUCAUCAAUACUGAAUAUCCUCUUCCACUGAAGAAGAAUAUGCCUGGUAAGUGUACAUCAUCUGUUUAAAAAG